UACGUAGGGGGCAAGCGUUGUCCGGAUUUAUUGGGCGUAAAGCGCUCGCAGGUGGUUCGUUGCGUCGUGCGUGAAAGACUCUGGCUUAACUGGGGAGUGUCGUGCGAUACGGGCGAACUGGAGGUUAGUAGGGGGAUGCGGAAUUCCGGGUGUAGUGGUGGAAUGCGUAGAGAUCCGGAGGAACACCAGUGGCGAAGGCGGCAUUCUGGACUGGUCCUGACACUCAGGAGCGAAAGCGUGGGGAGCGAUCCGG
This 253-nucleotide ribosomal RNA is filed under the name uncultured bacterium. RNAcentral's name for it is "partial 16S ribosomal RNA". It matches the Rfam family "Bacterial small subunit ribosomal RNA", at positions 524 to 776 of the family's 1533-position model. The record is from RNAcentral.